AGGGGUAUAGCCAAGUGGUAAGGCAGCGGGUUUUGAUCCCGCCAUUUCCCUGGUUCGAGUCCAGGUACCCCUGCCA
RNAcentral lists this transfer RNA (76 nucleotides) under Succinivibrio dextrinosolvens. RNAcentral describes it as "tRNA_Gln_TTG". It matches the Rfam family "tRNA". From Rfam's summary of the family: Transfer RNA (tRNA) molecules are approximately 80 nucleotides in length. Their secondary structure includes four short double-helical elements and three loops (D, anti-codon, and T loops). Further hydrogen bonds mediate the characteristic L-shaped molecular structure. tRNAs have two regions of fundamental functional importance: the anti-codon, which is responsible for specific mRNA codon recognition, and the 3' end, to which the tRNAs corresponding amino acid is attached (by aminoacyl-tRNA synthetases). tRNAs cope with the degeneracy of the genetic code in two manners: having more than one tRNA (with a specific anti-codon) for a particular amino acid; and 'wobble' base-pairing, i.e. permitting non-standard base-pairing at the 3rd anti-codon position. The record is from RNAcentral. RNAcentral also lists the same sequence under 9 other names. Lineage: Bacteria; Pseudomonadati; Pseudomonadota; Gammaproteobacteria; Aeromonadales; Succinivibrionaceae.